AAGAAACUCUUAGUAGUGUAGUCUGUGGGAAACCUCAAGAUGGCUGUUGGGUUUCUGAAGUUCCUGAUGUUUUGAUGCAGACCUAUGUUCCAGAUUGUUCUCUGCCUGUUAUACAGCUGACCUUUCUUGGACCAAAGCCAUGGAGAUGGUAGAAUUGUUUUAAGCUGCAAGCUGCUGUAAUCAUCCUCUGAGUUAGCACAGGAAGAGACUUUUAUAUCUCAGGCUAUUUAUCUGAAGCUUACUGCAAGGUGGUAGCUGUUCCCUGCAGGAACCCACAUUCAAACUGGACUGUUUAUCCCUCCAGCCGUGUCAAGAUUAUAUACACUCUGUUGGUAGAACUAAGUAUUCAAGGCACAGUUCCAAACUUAAAAGACAAACUGUGGAGAAAAUGGCUACUGAUGAUUUAUUUGGACCAGCAUGAGAGAAGGUUUUACUGUCAAAUGGAAAAAAAUUAAUCUCAUCUUUCUACUAAGCAACAUUCUAAGAAAAGAGAACAAGCUGAUAGCAUCUUUAUUUUCAUAUACUCUGGCAUGGAAAAAGCCUCCCCCUGAACACACACACACCCAGAGGCCCCAGUCUGAAUGAAUCCAUUUCAGCAGCCCCUGGCCAGGAACUUCAAGCCUCAGGGACCUUAUUCCCUGGAUGGGAUCUCUUGUGGCAAGCGGGGACAGUUUCUGAGCUCCAGAUGUCUGGGGUUUGUGGAGUGGCAGUAGGGCCUGGCUGGAGAAGGGCCCAUCUGCAGAGAGUCAUACAAUGCUGCAUGAUGCAGUGGUGCUUUGUGGGAGGAGGAGAGGCCUUGUCACUUCUGAGAUUGGAAAUGUGGUCAGGUCACUGAGAUUGUGUAUUAUUCCUGUUUUGAAAGUUCUGUCCAUAAGAUGUUCAACAGCUUUUUAUGGGCAGAGGUUUUGUGUGUAUAGAGGCAGAAUGAUGUGUCCAAAUAAAUUUCAGAUGGUGGGUUUGGGGGUUGGUUUUUUUGGUACUUGCUAUAUCUUUUCUGAAACGGUGGGAAGGGGGGGGGGAUUGUUCAGAAAGCAGUGAAGAGCAGCAAUAGGUAUGCUUUGGGAGGAAAAAAAAUAAAAUUUAACUUUUUCUGCAGAAAUAUAGUCCAUCAUGCAGUGAUAAUCUAACUAGCACUGGGGUACAUGAGUGUGCCAUGAGAAAUAAAUAACUCAAUAGACCACUCUGGGCUCCUUGGAGAAAAAGCAGGAUAUAUAUAUACACUGUGCCUACCCCACAGAAGAGGCUGCCUCCUAAAUCUAUGCAAGAUUUACUGUUUUAGCUUUGCUUUCUUCCCAGCAACUUUGACUAGGGCAAACAAUUCUGCCACAUCUCCGAAACCAUUCCAGCCUUCAAAGGAAGCUGCUUAUGCCAUCAGUGGAUUGCAGCACUGGGCUUGCUUCCUUUCCAGUCAAACGGCAUGUGCAGGACAGUUAAUCCUGCAGAAACAUAGGAGAUGCACAAUUCUUACACUCUACAAGUAAACCUUUUGGGGUGUGAAACUCUGGUUUUAAUUCCGCAAAAUAUACCUUACUUAGACAUUUGUGAAACAUGUUUGUCAUUCCCACUUGGAAAAAUGAAAUUGCUUUGAGGGCUAAUAAAGGGCUACAAAGACAAUUAUUCUAGCUCAGAUCCAAUUU
Long non-coding RNA from Hemicordylus capensis (graceful crag lizard), 1637 nucleotides. RefSeq lists it as uncharacterized. The record is from RefSeq and is a predicted model, not a curated record. Lineage: Eukaryota; Metazoa; Chordata; Lepidosauria; Squamata; Cordylidae. The transcript is spliced from 3 exons.